Molecule: ribosomal RNA, 492 nt
Filed under: uncultured bacterium
Lineage: Bacteria
Description: partial 16S ribosomal RNA
Rfam family: Bacterial small subunit ribosomal RNA
Source: RNAcentral
AUUGAACGCUGGCGGCAUGCUUUACACAUGCAAGUCGAGCGGUAACAGGCCUUCGGGUGCUGACGAGUGGCGAACGGGGGCGUAAUGCAUCGGAACGUACCCAGAGGUGGGGGAUAACGCAGCGAAAGCUGUGCUAAUACCGCAUGUGAUCUGAGGAUGAAAGCGGGGGACCGAGCAGCAAUGUUUGGCCUCGCGCCUUUGGAGCGGCCGAUGUCGGAUUAGCUAGUUGGUGGGGUAAAGGCCUACCAAGGCGACGAUCCGUAGCUGGUCUGAGAGGACGACCAGCCACACUGGGACUGAGACACGGCCCAGACUCCUACGGGAGGCAGCAGUGGGGAAUUUUGGACAAUGGGCGCAAGCCUGAUCCAGCAAUGCCGCGUGAGGGAAGAAGGCCUUCGGGUUGUAAACCGCUUUUGGCAGGAACGAAACGGUGUCCGCUAAUACCGGGCGCUAAUGACGGUACCUGCAGAAUAAGCACCGGCUAACUACGUG